UCUAGGUUAAGAUACAGAUCCUGC
RNAcentral lists this non-coding RNA (24 nucleotides) under Mus musculus (house mouse). The record is from RNAcentral. Lineage: Eukaryota; Metazoa; Chordata; Mammalia; Rodentia; Muridae.